GUUCAGCGUCACAUAAACCUGCUCACCGGCAUAUUGGCCUUGCUGCUAUUGUGUACUGAUAACAUGGACACUCAUAUCUAUAUCUCGUAACCUCGCGACCUGUCCUUGGGUAACUGUACCAGAUUGUAUGGUUACCCCUCAACUGAAUAAUGCACUGCUCCACAAAAACUACAAAGUGAACUAAUACUUGGACUUCACAUUCAACAGACAGGUCGCACUGGGAUAGUCGUAUGAAUAGAUUCCCUUGUCAAACGACAAUUUAAGGUGGCACUGGAACUGGGACAGUUGUAUGAAUAGAUUCCCUUAUGAAACGACAAUUUUAGGCUGCUGUCUGUUCACAAGUUGGAAUGUAGGCGUGUAAGUCGCAAGAAGGUUCAGACUGUCUUCGCCUGUUGUGGACAUAUUGGAACUACAACACAUUCAGAGGUAUUUUUACAAAACUUUUACAUAUGCACAGCUAGAGGAUACUAAGUUAAGACUUAUUAGCUGAAAUAUCUUUUGGGGCUGUCGGGUAGCCUAGUGGUUAAAGCGUUCGCUCGUCACGCCGAAGACCCGGGUUCGAUUACCGACAUGGGUA
Haliotis rufescens (red abalone) is the source of this 577-nucleotide long non-coding RNA. RefSeq lists it as uncharacterized. NCBI's taxonomy places the organism in Eukaryota, Metazoa, Mollusca, Gastropoda, Lepetellida, Haliotidae. The transcript has 3 exons. The record is from RefSeq and is a predicted model, not a curated record.